ACAUAGUUGAAUUCUAAAAAGUUAAAAUGUUACAGCAGGAAAUGGGUAAUAUAUUUUGGAACAUCCAUACAUUGAAACACUAUGUGGCUACUAAAAAAAGAAUGUGUUACAGCUGCACAUACUAACAUGGAAGUUCUAAACUUUAACGUCAAGUUAAAAUUUAAAAGAGGGAGCAAAAAAGAUAAAAGACAUAUUUACAGACAUGUUAAGUACAUAAAAAGAUGCACAUUAAACCGUUAACUGUGGUCACACUUCUGGACAGCAAAUGGGGAUGGGGUUGGGAAAUUGAGGGGGAAUGUACAUGGCAUUGUUUACUGGAUGUACUUCCAUACUUUUACAUGUUUAAAAAGUCACAAUUACUGAAAACUUCAUAAUUUUUCAAAAACAGAAAAAUGAGAUGACAUGAUGACAUUCAUGUUUUUUUGGUUUGCAACUUUCUAGAAGUUUCUAUAAAACAGGUUUUCUGAGACAUCUCCACGUUGAUUUCAACCACUGAUAAUCAGUUAUCUGGGACUAAGUAGUGAAGGUUCACUGUGAAUCAGCACCAUGAAGGCUCUAAGAAAAAACAGAGGGCAUUGGACAAUUCCAAAUGUUCUGGUAAAAGCUUAAAUAUCCAGUCAUCGUGAUAUAUUUGGUUUUCUUUCUACAGAAGUAAAAUAUUUUAACAUUGUAACAAACCUACCAGUGUUCACAAACACAAUCAGAAGAUUUUACUGUAUUCUUAAACUAGCUUAAAAAAAUAAAAAUAAAAAAAAGGUCCAUCUGUCUCUUAGAAGAACAAACUCCCCCAACAAAAAACAAAACAAGGCCAGGAGCAGUGGUUCACACCUGUAAUCCCAGUACUUUGGAAGGCCAAGGCGGGCAGGAUCACUUGAGGUCAGGAGUUCAAAACCCACCUAGCCAACAUGGCAAAACCCCGUCUCUACUAAAAAUACACAAAUUAGCUGGGCAUAGUGGUGCAUGCCUGUAAUCCCAGCUAUUUGGGAGGCUGAGACAGGAGACUUACUUGAACCCAAGAGGCAGAGCUUGCAGUGAGUCGAGAUUGCACCACUGUAGUCCAGCCUAGGCGACUGAGGGAGACUCUGUCUCAAAAACAGAAAAAAAGGCAGGGUGCAGUGGCUCACACCUGUAAUCCCAGCACUUUGGGAGGCCGAGGCAGGCGGAUCACGAGGUCAGGAGAUCGAGACCAUCCUGGCUAACACGGUGAAACCCCACCUCUACUAAAAAUACAAAAAAUUAGCUGGGCCUGGUGGCACAUCCCAGCUACUCGGGAGGCUGAGGCAGGAGAAUGGCAUGAACCCAGGAGACGGAGCUUGCAGUGGGCCAAGGUCGUACCACUGCACUCCAGCCUGGGCAACAGAGCGAGACUCCAUCUCAAAAAGAAAAAUUAGCCAGGCAUGGUGGUGGGCACCUGUUACUAGGGAGGCUGAGACAUAAUAAUGGCUUGAACCCGGGAGGCAGAGGUUGCAGUGGGCAGAGAUCACACCACUGCACUCCAGCCUGGGCGACAGAGGGAGACUCUGUCUCAAGCAAAACAAAACAAAACAAAGGACAACAACAACAAAACAAUGAAAAUCACCAAGAGGGUAGGAUAAGGGGCCAAAGAGUCUGUUAGACUGGAAAGCAACACUGUAUGUCCUAUGGAUUAACAUUUACACAAACAUUAACUCCACUAAUGGACAGCCUUUUCUACUCUUCAUCAUUUUGUUUAGUUUAUCUGGCAAGAGGGAUGCAAAACAAACCCAAGAAGAAACAGGGAACAUCGCUAGGGUAUACACAAUUCUCCCAACUCAUAAACCACUAGGGUAUUGGGAAACAACACUCUACAUCCUGGCUCUCAGGGAUUUCCCAAUUCUGAAAAUCCCACAUUGCAAUGGCACAUAUCACUUGGAAUGUUACAAAGGGGAUUCAUUGUGUUACGUUAAAACUUAGCCCCAUACACAGUAAUUUUAAGUAUAAGGCUAACACAAAAACAAAUUGACCAACUUCAGAAGCACUUCUCUUAGAUGAAGACAUCAGUAUGUCUUUUCUUCUAUGCAACAUGCUCCUGGAAUAACUCUUCCAAGGAGUCAUCCUUUUCAAAGACCAGAGGAAAAGCUGUCAAACAUCGCACAAGGCAGAGUGUGUACACACACUGCCCUAACACACCAAGCAGUCUUAUUCCAGGUUUUCCCAAGGCCAGUCAAUACAGACUUUCCAGCCAAGCCUAUACUCCCAGGUCUGUCUUGGCCUCUCCCCAUCCAAGACUCUUGAGUUUCCUGAAGCACCCUCCCAGAACCUGAUAUCUGAUAAUUGAUUAUCCAUAAAAAUGCUUACUGGAUAGAUGAAAGAGAUGAUGCAUUAUCAGAAGUGAAUGAAGCUCGGUAUGACUGAAGCAUAGGGUCUGCAGGAGAAAGUUGCAGAUGAGACCAUCUGGCAAGUGGACACAGUUAAAGGUUUUAAGCAGAGUGGCAGAGUAUAUUUCCAUUCUGUGAAAGGUUAGCUGGCUCUCCUGAAGACAGCAAGGACUGAAAAGCAGACAAGGCUGGAAACAAGGAAAGUGGCUUAAGGCUGAAAUGGCUGUGCAGAAGCUUUGCUGGUAGCCUGAAAUAGGACAGCAGCAGGGUAAAGGACAGAAGUCUGGGACAAAGGACACCAUCCAUGGGAAUGCAGGACCACGAGAAAUGAAGAGGCAGGACGGAGUGCCAAGGAACACUAUCAUUUACAAGCCAAAUUCAGGAGGAAAGGGGAAAAGGAGAAUGUAGGGGUGGGGUCAGGGAGGAAGAGGAAAGUCAACCAAGUGUGGUGUCAUGGAGGCCAAGGGAAGGGAACAUCAAGGAUGGAAAAAUCCAAAAUGUAACCUCUGUCAGUGCUGGGAAAAAUAGUGAAUUUUGUUUCCUUCCUCAUACUUUAUUUUCCCAGGAUCCUCAAUAACAUGCAGUUUAUUAUUAAUCAGAAAAAAAAAUCUGUUUAAGAAAAUUACAAAAAUCUGUUAUGAUACCCUCAUAAAUUAAAGAGCCACAGAUAGUGUACUAUCCAUAGGGCAUGUGUUUUGAAUUUGUUUUCUGGGUCUGGUGACGGAUUAGUACUGAUCUUUCUAUCUGCUCCGGCCUCAUGACCAGUGAUACAUAUUGCCCAGCCUCCUGGCCAAGGUCUGGGAUCCCAGCAGAGCAGAGCUGGCUGACCCAUACACAGAUGGCCCAGUGACCUUGGGUUCAUUAGCAUACUGUUCUAAUCAAGUGAGCUAACCAGCAACAGACCUGGCCUACUUUGUCCCACUUCCCACCACUACUGAGGCCAAAGUUCCUCAACUCUGCACCAUUUCCUAUAAACAAGAGAUUGCCUAUAAACAUCCACAGAUACAGGAGGUCCAAGGCUCACCAAAAAUAUUUGUUCAUUGUUUCUAAAUAGGAUUUAUGUUUACUUACAAGCUAUCUGCCCUGGCGAAAAGAAGUGUAUCAUUAAUAAAAAUGGCGACAGCCACUGAGCCAGCAUAGACAGCAAUCAAUGACCCACUGCCUGUUGUUCUGAUGACAUCAAAAGGAGAGGAGGGGGUGGGGGAGGAGGGGGCACGACAAAAAUAAAUAUUUCUAAGGUCAACAAAGAUUUAAGAAAUAACACUCUGGCUGGGCACGGUGGCUCACACCUGUAAUCCCAGCACUUUGGGAGGCUGAGGUGGGCGGAUCACCUGAGGUCAGGAGUUCAAGACCAGCCUGGACAACAUGGCAAAACCCUGUCUCUACUAAAAAUACAAAAUUAGCUGGAUGCGGCUCACGCCUGUAAUCCCAACACUUUGAGAGGCUGAGGCAGGCAGAUCAUGAGGUCAAGAGAUCGACACCAGCCUGGCCAACAUGAUGAAACCCAGUCUCUACUAAAAAUACAAAAUUAGCCAGGCGUGGUGGCACAUGCCUGUAGUCCCAGCUACUCAGGAGGCUGAGGCAGGAGAAUUGCUUGAACCUGGGGAGGCGGAGGUUGCACUGAGCCGAGAUCAUGCCACUGAACUCCAGCCUGGGCAACAGAGUGAGACUCUUAAAAAAGAAAAAAGAAAUAAUGUUCUAACAUUCUAACCUUGUGCCACUUUCUUGAUGCUCCCCACCGCACCAAAUAUUGGUAUUUAUCUUACAGGAUUCACCUGUGAUAGCACUCUUCUUGGAGCAGGCUGAGAGUAGCUAUCAUUCUCUCUACUUACAAAAUUUGAAAAGUAUAGGGGUUAUUUUACUUGACCUCAAGGGAUCCAGAAAGAGAUGCCCACUCUCCUUCCAGAGAGAGAAAUAGGGAUCAAUUCGAACAAUGCUGGCCAGGCAUGGUGGCUCAUGCAUGUAAUCCCAGAACUUUGGGAGGCCAAGGUGGGAGGAUUGCUUGAGGCCAGGAGUUUGAGACCAGCCUGGCAAAAACCUAUCUCUAUUAAAAAAUACAAAAAUUAGCUGGGCAUAGUGGUGCAUGCCUGUACUCCCAGCUACUCAGGAGGCUGAGGCAGGAGAAUCACUUGAACCUGAGUGGCAGAGGCUGCAGUGAGCCAAGAUGGUGCCACUGCACUCCAGCCUGGGCAACAGAGCAAGGCUCUGCCUCAAAACAAACAAACAAACAAAAACAAUGUCAAUUAGAAAAGUCCAGCCUGCUUAAAAAACUGGAAUGUGUUCCAGACACCACCUUGGACUUCAGUGGCCCCAUCUUUUUAAGUGAGGGUGUUAAACAAAUACGGUUCUUGGGUGACCUUCCAGCUCAAAAGGCCUAUGAUAGCCUAAAUCGAUGUCAUUAUACUGACAACCUGGGUAGGAGGGAAAAAUCUUGGAAAGUAGCUUUUGAAUAUGUAAAUGUCCAUGUUUACAUACUAUUGUUGGAAAUGUCUGUUUCAUGAGAAGUUAACAAACUUUUAUAGACCUCUCUAUUGAAUAUGUGUGGAUUUUAAUUCAUUGGUUUAAAAAAAAUGAAGUACUAUUGGAAUGUUUUAUCUACUAUUUUUCUCUCCUCCUCAAUACAGCACUUAAAAAAGAAUGAACCAACUUCAAAUAAUUCUUGGGAUAAGUAGCCUAUCUUUCCAGGAAAAGAAAAUGUAAGAACUUAACUUGGACUGGAGUAUCUCUGUUUAAAUGGAUUUUACUAUAAUUGGUUUUGAGAGGGCAAGAACCAUGGAGAUGAGGUGCUAAAAAUAGAUGUAGUAAAGUUGGGGGGAAAGUACGUGCGAGACUGACACUAAUAAUUACAAAAAAAAAAAAAAGUAGUGUCAUUCCUAUUAAAAUAAGAAACCUGAGCCCAUUCCGGGAACAGUCAUGGACUGCCACAGUCAUCUGGGCUCAGGGCUGGCCCUGUUCCCCACAAAGGUCCCUCAGCCUCAGUGGACAGCCUUAUAAGGCAACCAAGCUCAGAGAGAAGAUAAGAACACCAAGCACUUAACAUUUCCAGAGGCCUCUGCAAAUAUUAACUCAUUAAUUCUCACAGUGUUCUGUGAAAGCCCUGCUACUAUCAGUUCCAAAAGACACUGGGGAAGAAAGAUGCCUAAUUACAACUAAUUAUAGCAAGGUGUGUAAGGAGCUGGCAGCCCUUCCUAGUAGGCACCAUGUUCACCACCAGACAAGCCUCGACUUUGUCAGUAACUGAACAAACACUUGCCUACUAUGGGACAGAAAGGAGGAGAAACAUUU
Molecule: long non-coding RNA, 5621 nt
Filed under: Homo sapiens (human)
Lineage: Eukaryota; Metazoa; Chordata; Mammalia; Primates; Hominidae
Description: HSALNT0345989
Source: RNAcentral